CCUACGGGAGGCUGCAGUGAGGAAUAUUGGUCAAUGGACGAGAGUCUGAACCAGCUAAGUAGCGUGAAGGAUGACUGCCCUAUGGGUUGUAAACUUCUUUUAUAUGGGAAUAAAAUGUUCCACGUGUGGGAUUUUGUAUGUACCAUAUGAAUAAGGAUCGGCUAACUCCGUGCCAGCAGCCGCGGUAAUACGGAGGAUCCGAGCGUUAUCCGGAUUUAUUGGGUUUAAAGGGAGCGUAGGUGGAUUGUUAAGUCAGUUGUGAAAGUUUGCGGCUCAACAGUAAAAUUGCAGUUGAAACUGGCAGUCGUGAGUACAGUAGAGGUGGGCGGAAUUCGUGGUGUAGCGGUGAAAUGCUUAGAUAUCACGAAGAACUCCGAUUGCGAAGGCAGCUCACUGGACUGCAACUGACACUGAGGCUCGAAAGUGUGGGUAUCAAACAGGAUUAGAUACCCGGGUAGUC
RNAcentral lists this ribosomal RNA (460 nucleotides) under uncultured bacterium. RNAcentral describes it as "partial 16S ribosomal RNA". It matches the Rfam family "Bacterial small subunit ribosomal RNA", at positions 338 to 795 of the family's 1533-position model. The record is from RNAcentral.